This 253-nucleotide unclassified non-coding RNA is filed under the name uncultured Acidobacteriota bacterium. RNAcentral's name for it is "uncultured Acidobacteria bacterium contains 16S-23S intergenic spacer region". It matches the Rfam family "Bacterial small subunit ribosomal RNA", at positions 524 to 776 of the family's 1533-position model. Lineage: Bacteria; Pseudomonadati; Acidobacteriota. The record is from RNAcentral.
UACGGAGGGGGCUAGCGUUAUUCGGAAUUAUUGGGCGUAAAGGGCGCGUAGGCGGCCAAGUAAGUCAAAGGUGAAAUCCCUCGGCUCAACCGAGGAACUGCCUUUGAAACUACUUGGCUUGAGGCCGGGAGGGGGUAGCGGGAUUCCCAGUGUAGCGGUGAAAUGCGUAGAUAUUGGGAGGAACACCGGUGGCGAAGGCGGCUACCUGGACCGGUUCUGACGCUGAGGCGCGAAAGCUAGGGUAUCGAACGGG